RNAcentral lists this ribosomal RNA (470 nucleotides) under uncultured soil bacterium. Its description in RNAcentral is "bacterial SSU rRNA". It matches the Rfam family "Bacterial small subunit ribosomal RNA", at positions 26 to 517 of the family's 1533-position model. The record is from RNAcentral.
AGGAUGAACGCUGGCGGCGUGCUUAACACAUGCAAGUCGAACGAGGUCCAUCCAAACUUGUUUGGGGAAGACCUAGUGGCGAACGGGUGCAUAACACGUGAGAAACCUGCCUCAGUCUCUGGGAUAACAGUUGGAAACGACUGCUAAUACCGGAUGCCGUCCCACCAUCACAUGAUGGAGUGACGAAAGAUUUAUCGGAUUGAGAGGGUCUCGCGGCCUAUCAGCUAGUUGGAGAGGUAACGGCUCACCAAGGCAUCGACGGGUAGCUGGUCUGAGAGGAUGAUCAGCCACACUGGGACUGAGACACGGCCCAGACUCCUACGGGAGGCAGCAGUGGGGAAUCUGCACAAUGGCGAAAGCCUGAUGCAGCAACGCCGCGUGCGGAAGAAGGCCCUAGGUUCGUAACCGCUUUCGAGUAGGAAGAAAUGACGUACUACAGAAGAGUGCGACCAACUACGUGCCAGCAGCCG